Molecule: RNA transcript, 2973 nt
Organism: Mus musculus (house mouse)
Lineage: Eukaryota; Metazoa; Chordata; Mammalia; Rodentia; Muridae
Gene: Cyp4f17
Gene name: cytochrome P450, family 4, subfamily f, polypeptide 17
Exons: 13
Source: RefSeq, marked validated
AGUCCAGCUCAUCGUCCUGCUCAGCCGGUAGCCAGGAUCAAAAACAUUUCCAGGGAAGAGCGGACGUUUCUGGGACGCAUUACUCCUGAGAAAAGGAUGCUACAGCUGGGCCUGUCCUGGCUGGGACUGGGGCCUGGAGCUGCCUUCCCAUGGCAACUUCUGCAGUUGGUUGGGGCCUCCUUGUUCCUGGCUCGAAUUCUGACCUGGAUUUGUGCCUUCUAUGACAACUACUGCCGUCUCCGCUGCUUCCCCGAGCCCCCUUCGCGGCACUGGUUUUGGGGUCACAUGAGCAUGGUCAAGAACAACGAGGAAGGCCUGCAGUUGUUGACUGAAAGGAGCCACCAAUUCCAUGAUGUCCACCUCUGUUGGAUUGGGCCCUUCUACCCCAUCCUGAGGCUUAUCCACCCCAAGUUUAUUGGCCCCAUACUCCAGGCCUCAGCUGCGGUGGCCCCUAAGGAAAUGAUUUUCUAUGGCUUCCUGAAGCCCUGGCUGGGGGAUGGACUGUUGGUGAGUGCUGGUGAGAAAUGGAGCCGCCACCGCCACCUGCUGACACCUGCAUUCCACUUUGACAUCCUGAAGCCCUAUAUGAAAAAUUUUAAUAAGAGUGUGAACAUCAUGCAUGCCAAGUGGCAGCGUCUGACCACCAAAGGAACUGCCUGUCUGGACAUGUUGGAACACAUCAGUCUGAUGACCUUGGACAGCUUGCAGAACUGUGUGUUCAGCUUUGACAGCAACUGUCAGGAGUCUCCCAGUGAAUAUAUUGCUGCUAUUCAGGAGCUCAGCUCCCUCAUAGUGAAACGGCACCACCAGCCCUUCCUGUACCUUGACUUCCUGUAUUACUGCACUGCUGAUGGGCGGCGCUUCCGCAAGGCCUGCGACCUGGUGCACAACUUCACAGAUGCUGUCAUCAGGGAGAGACGGCGCACUCUCUCCAGCCAAAAUCUUGAUGAGUUCCUGAAGUCGAAGACUAAGUCUAAAACCCUGGACUUCAUCGAUGUGCUCUUAUUGGCCAAGGAUGAACAUGGAAAGGAGCUGUCAGAUGAGGACAUCCGAGCGGAGGCUGACACCUUCAUGUUUGGAGGCCAUGACACCACAGCCAGUGCACUCUCCUGGAUCCUGUACAACCUGGCGAGGCACCCCGAAUACCAGGAGCGCUGCCGGCAGGAGGUUCAAGAGCUGCUGAGGGGCCGAGAGCCCCAGGAGAUUGAAUGGGACGACCUGGCCCAGCUGCCCUUCCUGACCAUGUGCAUCAAGGAGAGUCUGCGGCUGCACCCCCCAGUUACGGUCAUUUCCCGUUGCUGCACCCAAGACGUUGUGCUUCCAGAUGGCCGGGUCAUCCCUAAAGGAACCGACUGUGUCAUCAGCAUCUUCGGGGUUCAUCACAACCCUGAAGUCUGGCCAGACCCUGAGAGACGCGACCCAUAAGCCUAGUCUUGGUUGACCUGCAGGUCUAUGACCCCUUCCGCUUCGACCCAGAAAACCCACAGAAGAGGUCUCCUCUGGCUUUUAUUCCCUUUUCUGCUGGGCCUAGGAACUGCAUAGGACAGACUUUCGCCAUGAGGGAGAUGAAGGUGGCACUGGCGCUGACUCUGCUGCGCUUCCGCGUCCUGCCAGGUGACAAGGAGCCUCGCCGGAAGCCAGAGCUGAUCCUGCGCGCAGAGGGCGGGCUGUGGCUGCGGGUGGAGCCUCUGAGCAAGGGCACUCAGUGACCAGAUCUACUACUGUCCCAGUCACUUUCCUCUGCCAAUCCCAGAGUAAGCGGAGUUUCACCCAGAGCCAUCAGAGGGCGCUGCAGGACAACAGAGGCUGUCUGGAAGCUUGGCUGAGAAGAGACUGGGGCUGCUGUCUGAGUCCAAGGGCCUUUCUGGGUAGCCCACAGGGCCUGCAGACUGAUGAGAGUUCCAUGCACCCCAGCUCAAGAACGGCCUUUAUUCUUUUGGCGAUAAGGAGGCACUAUAGAUGUUUGAGCAGGAGAAAUGCAACGUUUACUGGCCGAUUUGGGGCAGUUUUCUUUUUUCUUUUUUUUUUUCUUUUUUUUUUUUUUUUUUUGAGACAGGGUCUCAGCUUUUAGUGGAUAUAGCAGGCUGGCCUUUAACUUGUAGCAAAUCUCUGUCCUAACCACCAGAGCGGUGCAAUUAGAAAUGGGCCACUGUGCCUGUCAUAUCUGAAGGGCUGUUUAUUAGAAAUGAAGGGCAGCUUCCCAGGGGAGAAGCCUGGGAGCCCCUCCAAAUGAUAUUAAAUGAUGUCCACGGCUUGUGAUGGCUAAGGCCACUGAGGCAGCUUCAAUUUAAAAUGACCUCACGCUGGCAGGCUUCCUGUGUGGUGGUGUCCUUUCAGGUUCUCACUUACUCCUCUUGGGGCUGGGUGGUGGUGGUGGGGUGGCUCCAUGGAGAGACAGGCAGAUCCCAGUGCCUCACUGGCCAGCCUGACUUGCUGAAUCAGAGCUGCAGGUUCAGUAAGAGAUUCUGUCUCAGGAAGUAAAGUGGAUGUGAGUAUGAAGACACCUGACAUAAACCUCUGGCUUCCCCAUGUCUGUAUGUGUCUCAGCACACACACACACACACACACACACACACACACACACACACUCACACACUUAACUUUUCUGACUGUUCUAGGAUUUGAUUUUCUUCCUCCUACCAGGAAGUCAUUGAAACAUUUUCAUGACUUAAAGACUAGUCUGGGCUAUAUAGAAAAUUUGAGACCAGCAUUGAGAGACCUUGUCUCAAAAGUUAAAAACCAGAGUUUUACAUAUUUUUGCUUGUGAGAAAUGACUUUAGAUGGGCUGGAGAGAUGGCUCAUCCGUUAAGAGCAUUGCCUGCUCUUUCAGAGGUCCUGAGUUCAAUUCCCAGCAACCACAGGGUGGCUCACAGCCAUCUCUUAUGGGAUCUGAUACCCUCUUCUAGUGUGUUUGAAGACAAUUACAGUGUACCCAUAUAUAGAAAAUAAAUAAAUCUUUAAAAGAAGAAAAAA